UACGGGAGUGGCAAGCGUUAUUCGGAAUUAUUGGGCGUAAAGCGUCCGCAGGCGGCCUCGUAAGUCUGUCGUUAAAGCGUGGAGCUUAACUCCAUUAAGGCGAUGGAAACUGUGAGGCUUGAGUGUGGUAGGGGCAGAGGGAAUUCCCGGUGUAGCGGUGAAAUGCGUAGAUAUCGGGAAGAACACCAGUGGCGAAGGCGCUCUGCUGGGCCAUAACUGACGCUCAUGGACGAAAGCCAGGGGAGCGAAAGGG
Molecule: ribosomal RNA, 253 nt
Filed under: uncultured bacterium
Lineage: Bacteria
Description: partial 16S ribosomal RNA
Rfam family: Bacterial small subunit ribosomal RNA
Source: RNAcentral